AUUGGGUUGACCAAAAAGUUUGGGGUUUCCUAUAAAAUGGAGAAAAACCCGAACGAACUUUGUGGCCAACCCAAUA
Molecule: microRNA precursor, 76 nt
Filed under: Ovis aries (sheep)
Lineage: Eukaryota; Metazoa; Chordata; Mammalia; Artiodactyla; Bovidae
Description: miRNA (ENSOARG00000022277.1)
Source: RNAcentral